Hyposmocoma kahamanoa is the source of this 197-nucleotide long non-coding RNA. RefSeq lists it as uncharacterized. The record is from RefSeq and is a predicted model, not a curated record. Lineage: Eukaryota; Metazoa; Arthropoda; Insecta; Lepidoptera; Cosmopterigidae. The transcript is spliced from 2 exons.
GGGCUACUCCGAGUCUUUGUUAGAUAGAGUCGAGGCUUAUACUCCUCAGGUUCCAGAAUUAUUUACAGACAGAGUGCCCAGUGAUUGCCAAAGUGAAUUAACGGUAGAAAACGUCAAUUAAGGUGUGUUUUAUUAAAUUAAAGUGUGUUUUAUAAUUUUACUCUUAAUUUAUUAAUAAAUGUUAAUUUGUAGUAAAA